RNAcentral lists this ribosomal RNA (24 nucleotides) under Aspergillus flavus. RNAcentral's name for it is "partial 28S ribosomal RNA". Lineage: Eukaryota; Fungi; Ascomycota; Eurotiomycetes; Eurotiales; Aspergillaceae. RNAcentral also lists the same sequence under 1 other name. The record is from RNAcentral.
GGUAGGGAUACCCGCUGAACUUAA